UUUAAAGCAUUCAAAAUCAUUGUAUAUGAAGUUUAUCAGGACGAUUAUUAGGUGAGGGCAUCGUAGACCCAUUUUUCUGUUAUCCUGAAGGUCUGUCGUGUUCGGAGCACAGGCCUGAGUCAGGAGGUGUGUGGGAAUCUCUGACCUAUGAGCCCACAGCGGCAGGUUCUCACGGACACAGGAGCGUAGAGUUGGAAGGGUCUGUGUGAUUUUGCUCAUUUAAGACCCACAAGAUGAAAAUAAAAUUGGAAUUGAUGGAAUUCAAAAGUUUUGUGAUGAUUUAAGCGUAGAUCCUGCCAGUGUCACCGUUUUGGGUAUAGCUGGAAAUUUAGGGCCACAACUCUAUGUGAAUUUAGCAAAAAGGAAUUUGUAGAUGGCAUGGCAGAGCUUGGGGUUGGGAUAAAAGCUUCAUUCAUACCUUAACAUGUUUCUUACUUGCUGGAUGAGUCGGAGAGACUUAGAAGUGGCCGUCGCAUAUUGGAAUUUGGUAUUAUCCGGAAGCCUUAAGUUUUUAGAUCUUUGGAACAUCUUUUUGUUGGUAAGUGUCUCCCUGCUUGCGGGGGCCCCGCGUGAGGGGUCAGUGGGUGCGGUGGCCGUCCGUACUAACUGAUGGCUUGUCCGCGGGCACUGUGGAGCCAGGGUCUCGCGCAGAGGUCACCAAGGAGACGACCCGCGGCCACGCUCUGCCACCAGCUGAAAGCGGCGCCCAGGGGCUCUGACCCGGCUGCUCCGAG
This 734-nucleotide long non-coding RNA is filed under the name Balaenoptera musculus (blue whale). RNAcentral describes it as "lncRNA (ENSBMSG00010020296.1)". The record is from RNAcentral. Lineage: Eukaryota; Metazoa; Chordata; Mammalia; Artiodactyla; Balaenopteridae.